GCGACUGGAGGCAGAGACCAAGGGGAGAUG
This 30-nucleotide non-coding RNA is filed under the name Cricetulus griseus (Chinese hamster). Lineage: Eukaryota; Metazoa; Chordata; Mammalia; Rodentia; Cricetidae. The record is from RNAcentral.